This 253-nucleotide ribosomal RNA is filed under the name uncultured bacterium. RNAcentral's name for it is "partial 16S ribosomal RNA". It matches the Rfam family "Bacterial small subunit ribosomal RNA", at positions 524 to 776 of the family's 1533-position model. The record is from RNAcentral.
UACGUAGGGGGCAAACGUUGUCCGGAUUUACUGGGUGUAAAGGGUGCUCAGGCGGUCUUGUAAGUUAGAAGUGAAAUCCUAGGGCUUAACUCUGGAACUGCUUUUAAUACUGCAAGGCUUGAAUAUGGAAGAGGAGGAUGGAAUUUCUGGUGUAGCAGUGAAAUGCGUAGAUAUCAGAAAGAACACCAGUGGCGAAGGCGGUCCUCUGGUCCAUUAUUGACGCUAAAGCACGAAAGCGUGGGGAGCAAACAGG